Long non-coding RNA from Melanotaenia boesemani (Boeseman's rainbowfish), 198 nucleotides. RefSeq lists it as uncharacterized. The transcript has 4 exons. NCBI's taxonomy places the organism in Eukaryota, Metazoa, Chordata, Actinopteri, Atheriniformes, Melanotaeniidae. The record is from RefSeq and is a predicted model, not a curated record.
AGUCUUACAGCUCAUCAGAAUGUCAUAGUUAGAUUUCACAAGAAUGCUUUUAUGUCUGAAAAAUGUUUAUUUUGAAUUCUCUUACACACUCAACAAUUGGAAGUGAGUAAUUUCCUUGAAAAAGAACAAUGUUACACAGAACAUUUGUAACAUGCGUGUUUGUAUGUACGGUUGUCUUCAAGGAAUGCAGAACACCAC